GGGGGCGAAACGGAUUCGACGGGGAUGUGUAAGCUCAUUGUUGCAUGCCGAGCUUCUAUUUGCUCGUAAAACCGAUAGAACAUAAAUAUAAUCGCAGACGAUUAUAACUACGCAGUAGCAGCUUAAUAACUGUCAUACUGCCGUCCCACCAGU
RNAcentral lists this transfer-messenger RNA (153 nucleotides) under Desulforhopalus sp. RNAcentral describes it as "partial transfer-messenger RNA". It matches the Rfam family "transfer-messenger RNA", at positions 1 to 159 of the family's 374-position model. From Rfam's summary of the family: Bacterial tmRNA, also known as 10Sa RNA or SsrA, is named for its dual tRNA and mRNA-like properties. Lineage: Bacteria; Pseudomonadati; Thermodesulfobacteriota; Desulfobulbia; Desulfobulbales; Desulfocapsaceae. The record is from RNAcentral.